This 483-nucleotide ribosomal RNA is filed under the name uncultured bacterium. Its description in RNAcentral is "bacterial SSU rRNA". It matches the Rfam family "Bacterial small subunit ribosomal RNA", at positions 15 to 507 of the family's 1533-position model. The record is from RNAcentral.
GAUCAUGGCUCAGGAUGAACGCUGGCGGCGUGCCUAACACAUGCAGGUCGAACGGACUUACAUUGAAGCCUAGCAAUAUGUAAGUUAGUGGCGGACGGGUGAGUAACGCGUGGGUAACCUGCCUUAUACAGGGGGAUAACAGUUAGAAAUGACUGCUAAUACCGCAUAAGCGCACAGGAUUGCAUGAUCUAGUGUGAAAAACUCCGGUGGUAUAAGAUGGACCCGCGUCUGAUUAGCUGGUUGGUGAGGUAACGGCCCACCAAGGCGACGAUCAGUAGCCGACCUGAGAGGGUGACCGGCCACAUUGGGACUGAGACACGGCCCAAACUCCUACGGGAGGCAGCAGUGGGGAAUAUUGCACAAUGGGGGAAACCCUGAUGCAGCGACGCCGCGUGAGCGAAGAAGUAUUUCGGUAUGUAAAGCUCUAUCAGCAGGGAAGAAAAAAUGACGGUACCUGACUAAGAAGCCCCGGCUAACUACGUG